GCCUGGCUAGCUCAAUUGGCAGAGCGUGAGACUCUUAAGUUCUUCCUUAGAAGUCAUCUCAAGGUUGGGGGUUCGAGACCCCCGUUAGGCU
This is a non-coding RNA of Myxozyma melibiosi, 91 nucleotides long. Lineage: Eukaryota; Fungi; Ascomycota; Lipomycetes; Lipomycetales; Lipomycetaceae. The record is from the annotation of a RefSeq genome assembly.